RNAcentral lists this ribosomal RNA (507 nucleotides) under uncultured bacterium. RNAcentral describes it as "partial 16S ribosomal RNA". It matches the Rfam family "Bacterial small subunit ribosomal RNA", at positions 28 to 507 of the family's 1533-position model. The record is from RNAcentral.
GACGAACGCUGGCGGCGUGCCUAAUACAUGCAAGUCGAACGCAUUUUCUUUCACCGUAGCUUGCUACACCGACAGAAAAUGAGUGGCGAACGGGUGAGUAACACGUGGGUAACCUGCCCAUCAGCGGGGGAUAACACUUGGAAACAGGUGCUAAUACCGCAUAAUUCCAUUUCCUGCAUGGUAGAUGGAUGAAAGGCGCUUUUGCGUCACUGAUGGAUGGACCCGCGGUGCAUUAGCUAGUUGGUGGGGUAACGGCCUACCAAGGCUGCGAUGCAUAGCCGACCUGAGAGGGUGAUCGGCCACACUGGGACUGAGACACGGCCCAGACUCCUACGGGAGGCAGCAGUAGGGAAUCUUCGGCAAUGGACGCAAGUCUGACCGAGCAACGCCGCGUGAGUGAAGAAGGUUUUCGGAUCGUAAAACUCUGUUGUUAGAAAAGAACAAGGAUGAGAGUGGAAAGUUCAUCCCUUGACGGUAUCUAACCAGAAAGCCACGGCUAACUACGUG